Molecule: long non-coding RNA, 785 nt
Organism: Cervus elaphus (red deer)
Lineage: Eukaryota; Metazoa; Chordata; Mammalia; Artiodactyla; Cervidae
Exons: 2
Source: RefSeq, a predicted model, not a curated record
GCGCGGACGGGGGCGCUGACUACCCCUCACAGCCCGGGAGGCGAGGCUGACGUCAAGCCCAGGCCUGGGACCCGAGCCGCAGCUGCCAUUUAAAGAGGCCUUCAGAAUAUGGCACGUGUUUCACACUUACAGCCAUGAAGCAUCUCUCUAGACAAAGAGGAGGAAAAUCUCUAAAAAGAAGAAAGAAAAUAAUGUAGACUGUAUCAGUGGAAGAAUGUUUGUUCCCCUUCACAGCCAUCAUGGGCAAGUUUUGCUAUGCACGUUGUUCUUGUGAAAAGCAGACCAGCCCAAAAACAUAUGGCCUCCUGCAAGAAGUAAGAGGUUUGCUGCCAUAACAGGGUCAAAGAGCAGAUAGUACAAGAUGGGAAGGACCAUUUUCAGAUUCAACAAUUGGUGUAGAAUCUGGAGAAAGUUGGAAAGCAGAGUAUAAAAACUAGGUAACCCGCAAAUCUCACCCAUCGGUUUUAAGAAUUUAAUAACGCUGUGGAUGAAAAACGUUGCACAUGAAGUAUUUAGGAAACUUACAGUAUCAGUGUUUGAUGCAUUUGUUAUAUAGCAUAUUCUAGCAAUUUAGAUAUCUUACUAUAAUGUCAUAUGAAUUCUUGGUUAUAUUAUAAAUUAUAGAAGCAUUAUUAAAGGCUAGAGUUGAUAAAACUCUAUGUAUUAAUACUCAAAGUAAUGAAAUGUAUAGAUUAUGAUUCAGUACAUCUAAGCACUUAAUGCCUGGAAAAUAAAAAGUACUCAAUAUUUCUGAAUAAAGUUUUGUGUAAGCCAUUUUCACAUUA